RNAcentral lists this ribosomal RNA (242 nucleotides) under uncultured bacterium. RNAcentral's name for it is "partial 16S ribosomal RNA". It matches the Rfam family "Bacterial small subunit ribosomal RNA", at positions 94 to 339 of the family's 1533-position model. The record is from RNAcentral.
AGCGGCGGACGGGUGAGUAACGCGUAGGAAUCUACCCAGUAGUGGGGGACAACUUAGGGAAACUUAAGCUAAUACCGCAUACGCCCUAAGGGGGAAAGCGGGGGAUCUUCGGACCUCGCGCUAUUGGAAGAGCUUGCGUUAGAUUAGCUAGCUGGUGAGGUAAUAGCUCACCAAGGCGACGAUCAAUAGCUGGUCUGAGAAGAUGACCAGCCACAAUGGGACCGAGAUACGGCCCAUACUCC